AUGGUGAAUGGGUCCACGGUAGAUGAGGCAAGAAAGAGCAUACCCAGCAUAGUCAACACCAUCACAUAUGGCAUAGAGAAAUUAAUCACUCUCGGCGCAGUUGACAUCGUGGUUUCAAACGUUGCUCCCAUGGGGUGCUACCCGCUAUACCUGAACUUCUUCGAGAGCCCUGACAAGGGUGACUACGACGAGUAUGGGUGCCUGAGAAACCACAACGCCUUGUUUGAUAGCCACAACUCUUUCCUCAAGAACGGGCUCAAGAAGCUUCAAAAGAAGCAUCAACACACAAGGAUCAUGCAUGCCGACCUUGCAGGCCACGUCUACCAAAUGGUGCAGGAUCCCCAAAAGUUUGGCUUUGGGAUUGGGACCAUACUUAUGGGAUGUUGCGGAAAGGCCAAUGCGCCAAACGGAUUUGAUCUGCUCGCAAUGUGCGGGAUGGAUGGCUCGAGCGUCUGCCAUGACCCGGGGAGCCACCUAACCUGGGACGGUAUGCACCUUAGCGACGCUGCCAACAAACGGAUCACCGAGGGCUGGCUAAGCGGCAUGUACUGCAACCCACCGAUUCUGCAGUGA
This 573-nucleotide ribosomal RNA is filed under the name Triticum aestivum (bread wheat). RNAcentral describes it as "partial small subunit ribosomal RNA". The record is from RNAcentral. Lineage: Eukaryota; Viridiplantae; Streptophyta; Magnoliopsida; Poales; Poaceae.